Molecule: transfer RNA, 89 nt
Filed under: Bacteroidetes bacterium QH_2_64_26
Lineage: Bacteria; Pseudomonadati; Bacteroidota
Description: tRNA-Leu
Rfam family: tRNA
About the family: Transfer RNA (tRNA) molecules are approximately 80 nucleotides in length. Their secondary structure includes four short double-helical elements and three loops (D, anti-codon, and T loops). Further hydrogen bonds mediate the characteristic L-shaped molecular structure. tRNAs have two regions of fundamental functional importance: the anti-codon, which is responsible for specific mRNA codon recognition, and the 3' end, to which the tRNAs corresponding amino acid is attached (by aminoacyl-tRNA synthetases). tRNAs cope with the degeneracy of the genetic code in two manners: having more than one tRNA (with a specific anti-codon) for a particular amino acid; and 'wobble' base-pairing, i.e. permitting non-standard base-pairing at the 3rd anti-codon position.
Source: RNAcentral
GCGAACGUGGCGGAAUUGGUAGACGCGCGAGACUUAGGAUCUCGUGGCCUGUAUGGGCCGUGGGGGUUCGAGUCCCUCCGUUCGCACCA